AAAAACUUUAAUAUUUAAAAUGCUAACGCAUCUGUUGUGUCGAUCGAGUGAAGUGUGAACUCUUCCUCUUCACCUUAACUGUAAUAUUCUGCUUUACUCCACACACUGAGAGAAUACCUCAAUCCUCAUACGCGUUGUGUGUAUUGUUGUUUGUUGUGUAUUGUGUGUAUUUGGAAUUUUUUUGCGAACUGGACGCUAUUAUGUAUUUUAAUUAGUGUUGUGUACGUAAUUGUAACAGCAAGCGCAAGGAACG
Molecule: long non-coding RNA, 253 nt
Organism: Aricia agestis (brown argus)
Lineage: Eukaryota; Metazoa; Arthropoda; Insecta; Lepidoptera; Lycaenidae
Exons: 3
Source: RefSeq, a predicted model, not a curated record